CCUACGGGAGGCAGCAGGGGGGGAUAUUGCACAAUGGGCGAAAGCCUGAUGCAGCGAUGCCGCGUGGAGGAAGAAGGUCUUCGGAUUGUAAACUCCUGUCUUUAGGGACGAUAAUGACGGUACCUAAGGAGGAAGCUCCGGCUAACUACGUGCCAGCAGCCGCGGUAAU
RNAcentral lists this ribosomal RNA (169 nucleotides) under uncultured bacterium. RNAcentral describes it as "partial 16S ribosomal RNA". It matches the Rfam family "Bacterial small subunit ribosomal RNA", at positions 338 to 524 of the family's 1533-position model. The record is from RNAcentral.